RNAcentral lists this ribosomal RNA (496 nucleotides) under uncultured bacterium. RNAcentral describes it as "partial 16S ribosomal RNA". It matches the Rfam family "Bacterial small subunit ribosomal RNA", at positions 28 to 507 of the family's 1533-position model. The record is from RNAcentral.
GACGAACGCUGGCGGCGUGCCUAAUACAUGCAAGUUGAGCGAUGAAGAUUGGUGCUUGCACCAAUUUGAAGAGCAGCGAACGGGUGAGUAACGCGUGGGGAAUCUGCCUUUGAGCGGGGGACAACAUUUGGAAACGAAUGCUAAUACCGCAUAACAACUUUAAACAUAAGUUUUAAGUUUGAAAGAUGCAAUUGCAUCACUCAAAGAUGAUCCCGCGUUGUAUUAGCUAGUUGGUGAGGUAAGGCUCACCAAGGCGAUGAUACAUAGCCGACCUGAGAGGGUGAUCGGCCACAUUGGGACUGAGACACGGCCCAAACUCCUACGGGAGGCAGCAGUAGGGAAUCUUCGGCAAUGGACGAAAGUCUGACCGAGCAACGCCGCGUGAGUGAAGAAGGUUUUCGGAUCGUAAAACUCUGUUGGUAGAGAAGAACGUUGGUGAGAGUGGAAAGCUCAUCAAGUGACGGUAACUACCCAGAAAGGGACGGCUAACUACGUG